RNAcentral lists this unclassified non-coding RNA (273 nucleotides) under uncultured Sordariomycetes. RNAcentral describes it as "sequence contains 5.8S rRNA gene, ITS2, 28S rRNA gene". The stretch from base 1 to 52 matches the Rfam family "5.8S ribosomal RNA", at positions 103 to 154 of the family's 154-position model. Lineage: Eukaryota; Fungi; Ascomycota; Sordariomycetes. The record is from RNAcentral.
AACGCACAUUGCGCCCGCUGGUAUUCCAGCGGGCAUGCCUGUUCGAGCGUCAUUUCAACCCUCAAAUACCUCUGUAUUUGGUGUUGGGGCAUAGCCUGGUAGCAAAGGGCUAGCCCUCAAAUUCAGUGGCGUGCUCACUAAGACUCCGAGCGUAGUAAUUUUUUUUCUUUCUUCUCGCUUAGGCCUAUUAGUGAUGCGUAGCCGUUAAGCCCGCCGUCGCGCACCUUUUGAAAAGUUGACCUCGGAUCAGGUAGGAAUACCCGCUGAACUUAA